GACGAACGCUGGCGGCGUGCUUAACACAUGCAAGUCGAACGGAAAGGCCCUGCUUUUGUGGGGUGCUCGAGUGGCGAACGGGUGAGUAACACGCGAGUAACCUGCCCUUGACUUUGGGAUAACUUCAGGAAACUGGGGCUAAUACCGGAGAGGAGCUCCUGCUGCAUGGGGGGGGUUGGAAAGUUUCGGCGGUUGGGGAUGGACUCGCGGCUUAUCAGCUUGUUGGUGGGGUAGUGGCUUACCAAGGCUUUGACGGGUAGCCGGCCUGAGAGGGUGAACGGCCUCCUUGGGACUGCGGUACGGCCCAGACUCCUACGGGAGGCAGAGGUGGGGAAUAUUGCACAAUGGGCGGAAGCCUGAUGCAGCAACGCCGCGUGCGGAAUGACGGCCUUCGGGUUGUAAACCGCUUUCGCCUGUGACGAAGCGUGAGUGACGGUAAUGGGUAAAGAAGCACCGGCUAACUACGUG
Molecule: ribosomal RNA, 468 nt
Filed under: uncultured bacterium
Lineage: Bacteria
Description: partial 16S ribosomal RNA
Rfam family: Bacterial small subunit ribosomal RNA
Source: RNAcentral